This 486-nucleotide ribosomal RNA is filed under the name uncultured bacterium. RNAcentral describes it as "partial 16S ribosomal RNA". It matches the Rfam family "Bacterial small subunit ribosomal RNA", at positions 899 to 1397 of the family's 1533-position model. The record is from RNAcentral.
ACUCAAAUGAAUUGACGGGGAGGCGCACAAGCAGUGGAGCAUGUGGUUUAAUUCGAGACAAAGCGAAAAACCUCACCUGGGUUUGACAUGUAGAUGCUAAUCCCGUGAAAGCGGGACUCCUUCGAGGGUUCUACACAGAUGCUGCAUGGCUGUCGUCAGUUCGUGGCGUGAGCUGUACCCUUAAGUGGGACAACGAACGCAACCUGCACCGUAUGUUAAAUAAUUCAUAUGGAACUGCCCGAGUUAUACUCGGGAGGAAGGCGCAGAUGAUGUCAAGUCCGCACGGCUCUUACACCCAGGGCUACACACAUCCUACAAUGGCGAAUAACAACGAGCUGCAAGCGGGUAACCGCAAGCUAAUCUCUAAAAUUUCGCCCCAGUUCAGAUCGGGGGCUGCAACUUGCCCCCGUGAAGUCGGAAUUGCUAGUAAUCGCGAAUCAGCAGGUCGCGGUGAAUACGUUCUCGCCUCUUGUACACACCGCCCGU